Non-coding RNA from Lutzomyia longipalpis, 81 nucleotides. The record is from Rfam. Lineage: Eukaryota; Metazoa; Arthropoda; Insecta; Diptera; Psychodidae.
GUGAAUUCGAACCCUUAUCAUUCUCUCGCCCCGUGUAUAUUUUAACUACUGGACGGAGAACUGAUAAGGGCCCGUGUCACC